RNAcentral lists this long non-coding RNA (213 nucleotides) under Physcomitrium patens. RNAcentral's name for it is "long non-coding RNA (PPAT_LNC006442)". The record is from RNAcentral. Lineage: Eukaryota; Viridiplantae; Streptophyta; Bryopsida; Funariales; Funariaceae.
AAGUCGACAUCAGGUUGCUUGUUUGAGUUUCUUAUUCUGCGAACGUGAAAUGCAAUUCACGCCUAACUUGAAGAGCAGGGAAUGAAUUGUCGAGUUCCGUUUGUGGUGAAGAUUCCAACAAAUAGUGUGCCAACUUCUCUUAAACUCCUAAUUAUAUUUGGAAGUUCUGCUUUGUUACUUGAUUGGCAGUCCUUCAAGGAAAGAGACAUACUG